AUGAAGCAGAGUGGAUCGUGUACUUCAGCUGCUAGCUGCCAGACCUCAUACACCUUGCUACGUGGACAUUUUCACCCUGGUUUUAAGCUAACGUGUCAGACGGUGAUGUGGGGUGACCAAGGAGCCAGCACCUGCAGCUGCUCCAAGCCACCCCAAAAGGCAAAGAACUCAGGCGUGGAAGAGUGCAUGGGAGGCGCUCAGAAGCACACCAAUGUGCUGCAAGAAAUAAGAAAGACAACGACUACACCUGCACCAGAACAGCUACUCUGGAGGCCUCGAUCAAUGCCUUGGCUGCUGCAUAAAUACAGAGAAAGGCUCAUUCGUGGCAGGACGAGUUUCCCACAGAUGGUAAACAGAUGUCUCAGGUGUAUGGCAGAAGAAAAGGAAGCCCUUGAAUGGGAACCUCAGGCAAACACACUAGUCUGCACGAGUCCUGAGCCGACCAGCUCUGGAAACAGCAUCACUGCCCAUCUUGGAAACACUCCAGACAUUAUCCAUGUUGUCCUUUAGGCAGCCUGGCUUCUACAGAUGAUGUCUUCCCUUGCAGCAGGCAAUCCUGGGACCUCUGGGGAAGGGACAUGAAGCAACCUCGUUUGGCCCAUGUGGCAGGACCAGAAGGGGUACAGCGACAGGAGUCAAUGGAGGCCCCUGAGAGUUGCAAGGGCUGGUCACCACUCUGCGUAGGCAUGCAUUCGAAUAAACGCUACCGGCCCUCUUCA
RNAcentral lists this long non-coding RNA (719 nucleotides) under Anser brachyrhynchus (Pink-footed goose). RNAcentral's name for it is "lncRNA (ENSABRG00000012146.1)". The record is from RNAcentral. Lineage: Eukaryota; Metazoa; Chordata; Aves; Anseriformes; Anatidae.